GUCAUUUUAUCGCCGGUGAACCGUCGCCCGUACCAGUCGUGACACCCUCGUCGGCAUUCCCGUCAACGCCGCCGCCGCCGGCGACGGUGGCGGCAGAGAUCGCGUAGCCUCCACCCGCGCUCGCGUCACCGUCGGACUUGCUGGCACUGCCACUGUCACUACCUGCGUUGCUCAGGCUAAAAAAGUAGCGGUUCGUGGUUGGCUGGUUUGCCGCCAUAGGAUAGCAGAGUAGCAGAUGCGGGUUGAGGGCUUGCGGCGCCGCUGGUUUAUGCGGGUUGGCCGCAUAGCGCCGCUAAAAUGAUGUGGAUCAUGAUGCAGGUUCUGGUAGACUUGCAGCGCCCGCUGUCCCAGCGGGCUCGCGGCUCAACCCGGCCACUUGCAUCCCUACCCGUGAUGUAUCGAUCACGAGUUGAUAUUUUCUCACUUCUAGAGGACUCGCUGAAGCGGGAGUCUGGCGCGAAGGUUCACAAAGCCAACAUCCAGGCGGCCAAGGCUGUUGCUGACAUCAUUCGCACUACAUUGGGUCCCAGAUCCAUGCUGAAAAUGCUUCUGGACGCUGGACGCUGGUGGCCUUUUAUUUAAUAAAUUUGUAAAUUAUAUCCAACCAGUUCAUCAGAUCGUGGCCUUUUAUUUAGAUCUAAGAACACCAACACACUUAGGCAUUUAGUUGGAUAUAAUUCCUAUGUUGUACCCAAGAAAGCAGCACUUACCGAUGAACUAUAUCUUAUCAGUCGUGUAAACAGAAUGAAAUAUAACAAAAUUGUUUUUAUUAUCUGCACAUUCCCAUUAUAUUUUGUAGCAUAUAACCACAAGGUCACAACCAGUUUGUAUGAAUUAAUUGGCGUAUGAAUCCGAGAUGAGUGUUUCGUAUGAUUUUUUUUACAGUCUAUGUACACAAGCAUUUCAUGAAGAAAUUAUUUACUUGACUCGAUAAGUUCCAAGUUCCUGCUUUUGACAUUUAUUUUCUUGGUCAUCAACAUGCGAAGCUUUACAUGUCUUCAUGUCAGUGGUCGUCAAAUUUUCUCCAGUACUGCCUUGAGUAGCUGCAGUGGUGACCACACAAGUGAACGAGAUGCAAAGAAGGCAGGUAAGCUACUGCAAAUUUAUACAAUAAUUUAUUGUCAAGAAACGAACGCUAGAUUACUGUGCCGGAUAGAUCUUAGCAGGUAAACAGUAGGAGAACUGAUGUAAAUGAGAAGACAAAGUUCUUCACGUGAGGUAAAAUGUUGUCCAGUUUUUUUUCUUAAAAUGAAAUAUCUAUGUCUUUGCUGAUUUAUUUGUCCAGUUUUUUGUUCUUCAGGUGAGAAGACAAAGUUCUUCAGAUAAACAGUAGGAGUAUAACCAGGGAGUGUGGAUUUUCUGAAUAUAAAUGGAAAAGAGGGGAUAUGGUACUUUAGAAUUUGGUUUUCGGUGAAACUAUAAAUUCCAUUGGCAUGCUUGAUUUAAUGUUCACUUAAAUUGUCUAGAUCCUUAUCCACUUGUCCUCAUGGAAGCCUCUCAACCCUCAAAUGUUUGUCUUUGCUGAUUUAUUUGUUUAGGCAACCCUCAUUUAGCUGCACCUUUUCCUAUUAAGGAAAAAAGAAGCUUUGCGUUCAAUUUCUCCUAGAAUCUUUCUGUGAUACCAGCUGAUUUUUUUAUUCUCUUAUUUGGAACGUUAUGACAACAAGAAGCCACUAGAAAGAAUAAAGGAACAGAAUGCAGUGACACCACCGCUCCAUCAUGUAGGUGUUAUUACAAAUGUUAGUACUAACCUUUUAUGUUUAUAUUUGAUCAAACCUAAAAUGGCUGACUCAUUAAAGAAUGAGAAAUGACAAACUUUUGUGUUAGAGGGAGUAGAUAAUGGUCAUCUGUGCAAGCUAAUCUGCAGUAGUAGUCACCAGCCGAUGAUCAUGUGUUUCUCUGAAUUCUGAAACCUAAUCCUGCUUCAAAAUGGCAUAUAUAAUUCCUGGUCCUCUCGAAAAGGCAAUACAACCUGAGCUUGUGAUCUUGUUUUAGGAGUAGAUAAUGGUAUAUAAUUCAAGAUGUUAAGUAUAUAUAAACAGGAAUCGUAUAUGAACCCAGUUUCUCUGCAUUCUGAAACCUAAUCCUGAGAUGAUGUGAUUGUGAUCCACUGACUGGAGGAUCCAUGCAAAUCUCAGUGUCACCUUCUCCAGCAGGCAACAACUGACUGUUUGUUGGUGUGCAGUGUUCUUCAAACUAUUCAGCAACUAAACUGUUCAAACAUGUUACUGAAGAUUGGCAGCUGAAACACAUGAUCACCGGCUGAACAUGGUAGGCGUGAAAAAUAAGAUCACCGACUGAACAGUUUAUGAUCACCAGCUGAAACACAAGAUCUGGGAGGCGUGGAACAUGGUAGCUGAACUCUUCAAACAUGUUAGACAAUAGCAGGCAACAACAGUGAAACACAAUCACCGACUGAAAAGUUGUCCGGCACCUGGACUGAGCAAAUUUGGUUGCCUGGUGGAGGGAGGUCUAACGGCAGACGCUGCUAUUCAAUUAUUUUUUUACUUUACUUUGUAUCCUCCUUACAGAUGUUGGAUGAAAGCAAACCUUCAUUUUUUUUGUUUAGCAGGCCUACUAAAACAAGCUUAGUGAACCUGGGUGAACAACAUGCACUGAUUCAAAAUUUUAUUUGCAUUCAUUGCAUUUAGCUUGCCUUGAUGACCCUGUCAUUCUAAUCACAGUCUUGGGCAUUUUAUUUGUGUCGGAAUCCAAACUUACAAAUUUUUAACACAAAUUUUUUGAAGGUGUAUGGUCUGGAUAUAAACCCAAGAGUUGUUCUGGUAGGGCGCCCGAACGGGCGCCUCCUGUUCUAGUGUGGUAUAAAGGGGAAUCUCGAUGCCCAACGCCGCAUCGCCGUCAAGCGCUUCAACCGCUCUGCCUGGCCCGACCCGCGCUAGUUCCUGGUAUUCCAUCCACCUUCUCUUUUACCUUUUCUAAUUAUGUGCAUCUUGUGGGUGUAAUUGAUAGUUGGGAACCUGGGUGUAAUUGAUAGUUUGCUUAUAAUGAAGAAGCAAGCGUAUGUUGUGUUGUUUUGUAUGCGAUAGGCCAGUGCAUGCAUGGUGGAAGCAUGACGACUGAAAAAAACAAUUUUUACCUUUCAUCCUAAGCAUCACAUCUUAACUAUAUGGCGUUAUGAAAAAAGCAUAUCAGAUUUCAUCUCAUGCUGUGUUUUGGCGGUAGCUUGAUUAUGGUAUACCGUUGAUGACUGGUUCUUUUUUCUUCUGAUAGCCAUAUUACAGUUGCCAUUGUGCUUUGUUGAUUUAUAGCUUCCAUAUAUGCAAGGAAGAAUAUGUUGAUCAAUGUCUUGCGUGCCAUUCCUACAUGUUUGUGCAAGGAGGAGUGUCCUGUCGUGCUCCCACAUGCACUUGUUGCAGCGUUCGUCAAGACCGAUAAAGAUUUCUAGGCUAUGGCUGACAUUUGUGAUAAUAGAUGAGUGGGUUGUGACUAGCAUCUGUCGGUGAUUCACAUUGCAUACGAGAAUCUACUUAGGAUCAAAGGUACUUUUUAUCAGCUGAUCAUCGCUUUGACUCCAACUCAAAUGAGCCAUGGAAAGGAAGCUCACUGGGUCAGAACUCUAUUCGAGAAAUUGAAAGCUCCAAUGAAGUAAUUCCUCGUCAGUCAUCUUCAAAGAGAUGCCAUGAUUCCCAGAAAGAGAACCUUGUUGAGGGCUCAGAAAAUAAGGCUGAUUCAGAUUCAGAAGGGUCACUUGCUACUAAUGAUGGCGUGGCAGAUAAACUGAAUUAUUCAGAAAAUAAGGCUAAUCAUUAGUCACUCUUAACAAUUCUUUUGCUUUUUAGAUUGUGUGCUUGGGUCGUGAUUCGAUGGAUGAUGAGACAGUGGACCAAACUGAAAAGGAUUCUCAAGGAGGUAAUAAAGGAGCCCAUUGUACAGUGGACCAAAAAAAUUAUAGAGGCAGAGCUGAACCGACUAAUAGAGGCAGAGCUGGACAAGUCGAAGUUGUGAUGGUCAAAAUUAUCGUUUGGUAGCUGGAACAUUUUAUUACAGAAUGCUCUAUUUAUAUCGAUCUCAGGUAAUUCUGAAUUCCUAAGCAGUUCUAUAAUUACAGUUGUUCUUAGACCAUUUUAUGUAGUUGAAUGGAAGCGAUAUCUGAAUCAAGAAUGUUCUAAGACCAUUUUCUGUAAUUGUAGCUACUCUAAGACCACUGCUAUUUUGUAGUAAAGUAAACAGGCAACACUAUAGUCUUGUGGCAGUUGCUGCCUGUUUGGGACUAGGAGUUGUCGGGUUAUGCAAGUCAUUGUAUUGUGGUUUGUCCAUACCAUGGGUUUCUCCAAGGAAUUUGUUUUCGGGGUUUGGGAGAGUAUACUAUGUAGGAGAUCUGCGAAAUUUUUGGCAACAAUUGCUUUCUUAAUGUCAUCCUCCAGGUAAAUAUUGACUUUGUAAUUCUACUGACAUCCAGCUAGAUGAAUGCUAAAUAAGACAGCCUUUUCUCGGCACACACUUGCCAGUUGUGAUGGUUUUAUUUCCUUUAUAGAAAAUUUGUUUGCAACCGAUGGCUUGCUACCUAAAGAAAAGCCUGUAAAAAUGCCUCUUCUUCUUGCUCUAAGCCCUCUCUUGGAAUGUAAUAUUUUUACUAUGGACUAUUGAACUUCUUAUCAUUUUCGAGAUCCCCACUAUGAACUUCUUAUGACAACUGUAGAUUCAUUGUCCAAUGCAAGUAUUGUCCUUUUACUACAGACAAUUUCUGGGACCUCUUGACACUUGAGGGCUAGAAGAUGUAAAUUCAUGAGAGCUUAGAUGUAAGUACUCCUUUGGAUAUUUUUUCUCUGAUUUCUGAAUAGGUUUUUGUAACAGUGAAAAUUUAUUGUUGCCUAUAGCGUGGAGUGUAUGUGUCCUGUUUGAGCUUCGCCAGCUUGUAGAAGGCACAUUUCUGUCCCUACAUUUUAUUUUUCACCAAUGGCGAAACUUGUGUAGUCGUUUGCCACUAUUUACUUGUUUGUUUUUUCAGCGAACAUGCAUUUUGGAGAGACCAACUUGAAUGUGCGGAGCAGUCGAUCACACGGUAUUUUCAUAAUGGUAUAGAAUUCUGAAUUCCUAAGCAAUUUUGUAAUUGCAGCUGUUCUAAGACCAUUUUUGUAGUUGAAUGGAAGCGAUAACUGAAUCAAGAAUGUUCUAUUUAUAUCGGUCUCACGUAAUUGUGAGCAGCAAUAGAGACUAAGUAGUUCUGUAAUUGCAUUUGUUCUAAGACCAUUUUCUGUAGUUGCAUGGAAGCGAUAACUGAAUCAAGAAUGCUCUAUUUAUAUCGAUCUCAGGUAAUUCUGAAUUCCUAAGCAGUUCUGUAAUUGCAGUUGUUCUUAGACCAUUUUAUGUAGUUGAAUGGAAGCGAUAUCUGAAUCAAGAAUGUUCUAAGACCAUUUUCUGUAAUUGCAGCUAUUCUAAGACCACUGCUAUUUUGUAAUAGAUGUCAGUGCUUAUUACUGGUCAAUCCUCCUCAGCUGCACUCAAAUCUGAAGUUCGUUCAGCUCUUUAGAAGAGAAACAAAGCUAAUUUCAGAAGUCGAAUACUACCUGACUAACCUCAUUUCAGCAGAGAUGUUUAUAAUAGAUGUUAGUGCUCACUCGCCCUCAAUGGAGGAAAGGGAGUUUCAGAAACAUAUGGAAUCGACAAGACUAGCUACUCAAGUAUCUAUUGCAAGCCCAAGUAGCUCACAGGGGCUUCCCACAUCUGCAAGGGCAAAUCAGGAGGAAACUGAUAUGGCAGGUACGGAUGAGGGAUAUCCGUGGUCAAGUUUGAUGCUUCAGGACCAAUAUCGUUGUGUGUCGUUGCUGGUGGUAUCUGAAUGGGGGUAAAGAUAUAGAGAGGGAUUUUUUUCUUCAAAUGAUGAUUUAUCGUUGCGUGUCGAUGCUGGUGUUAUUUGAAUGGGGGUAUGCGGUCGGUGCUCGUGCGACACAGACCCACGAUUCUCCUUGGACGCCGGCCGCAUGUCCGUCAGUGACAUGGGCUUCUCUUGGGAUGAGCCCUGUGCGUCGUGGGACGGCUGAAACGUGUAACAGAGAGUCUCAAGUUCUAUAGAUCUUCACUUCCCCUGCUUGUUCUACAUUUCACGAUCCUGACUGAUAUUUCUUUUUAUCAUAUUAGGGCCGAGAUGUAUAUAUACUGGUAAGCACUCAUCACUUCCAUUAUUGUGUUUUUCUUUAGAUGUUAGGGGAAAAAUGAAGAGGGCAAUUUCUAUUCAAAGAUAUGUGCAUUAUAUUGUAUAUGCAAUUGCUAUUGCUAUAAAUAUAAAUUUAACAAACUUCAUUAAUUCAGGCAAUACAACUUUGGAGAAUGCGAGUUGUGUUUCUGCCUCUGAGCCAGUGUAGCUAUAUCUGAUUUAAACCAUACUCUGUUACAGGGUUCCACAAAUGUUGGAAAAUCUGCAUAUAUGUUGUUCGUUUCCAUGUAAUUGUUGUGCACUAACAUUUAUCGAAUAGUUUGUACACCGUUGUAACGCACGUGCACUCACCUAGUUGUAGUAUAUAUGACAAAUAAUUUGCAGUCUUCAACAUCGGAAAAUCCGGGUCAAAAGGCAUGGGUUGUACACACAUUUAUUAAAGUCACCUAGAAACUUACCACGACAUGCACUAAUUACAUGCUCCAGUAGUUUGGCAUCAUUUUAGGUAAAUGUGCCACAAACAAAGACUCCGGCUUGUGUUUCGAAAUACAUAAGCAAUAGUUUCUGCCA
This is a long non-coding RNA of Zea mays, 6685 nucleotides long. RefSeq lists it as uncharacterized. The record is from RefSeq and is a predicted model, not a curated record. The transcript has 6 exons. Lineage: Eukaryota; Viridiplantae; Streptophyta; Magnoliopsida; Poales; Poaceae.